AAAAAAAAGUAGUCACCGCGGAGCGAAGGGAGGGAAAAUCGGGGGGCUCGGCGGCUAGCCCUAGCGCCGGUUAGCCCUGCGCCAGGCGUAGUUCCCUCUGAGAAGCAUAAAAGAAGAACCUAAAUAAUAUCCUUGUCUAGGAACUGUAUGUGCUGGAGUCACACUAGACAGCAGACCUUUGGCAUGCAGGAGUCAAGAUACCAAAUCACGUCUUUGCUGAAGGACCACGUCAAUGCCCUGCGGAUCAUGUGACUAAACAUGAGUAUUGGCCUCAUGAAAUUCCAUCUUAAUUGUGAUACAUUUUAUCUUAUAGAACCUGUGUCACAUGCUUGUUAAUUCAUAGCCAUUCAUUUGAAUUUAUUUCCUGUCAGUUCGUGAUGGCUAGUUUUGAGUGCCAGCGAAAGUUAUUGCUCUUAUUUGGCGGAUCAGAACACACAGUGCGACGAGGCACCUUGUAACCACCAAUGCCUUCUACUUACCCAUCCCCUAUCGGCAAUGCCGUGUUGUGUGCGCUGUGAGUUUCCUAGUGGUUGAUAUAUUGGGUGCUUCCGCCCUACUGCAGUGGUUUAGCAGCUUGUUUUAUGUCCCAUCACAUUGACCGUAAUGGAUCGGUGCUUCACUUAACAAAUAUGUCCGUACUCAGACUUUUCAAUUCGCCGGGCCUGCUUUAUGGCGUCUCCGAAGGGUCAUUCCUGCCGUCCCGGGCACGGCUACACCCCUCAAACACCGAGGCCGCCCCGCAGGGCUUCCGGGCCGCACGCGUCGGGAUAAAGCGGGCCUUACCUGCAGCGGAAUGGGCCCCAGAGUACCCCGAAGUGCGCCAUCUCCGAGGACGGAGCGUUUUGGGAGAGGCGGGGUCAAAGAUGUGCAGGGUUCCUUUUAACCAAUUACCUGCUGAGAAAUAGCCUCUGCGUG
Molecule: long non-coding RNA, 915 nt
Organism: Anguilla anguilla (European eel)
Lineage: Eukaryota; Metazoa; Chordata; Actinopteri; Anguilliformes; Anguillidae
Exons: 3
Source: RefSeq, a predicted model, not a curated record